GCCGCGGUGCCCGAGCGGCCCAAGGGGACGGAUUGCUAAUCCGUUCCCCGUAAGGGGGCGCGGGUUCGAAUCCCGCCCGCGGCG
Molecule: transfer RNA, 84 nt
Filed under: Candidatus Nanopusillus sp.
Lineage: Archaea; Nanobdellati; Nanobdellota; Candidatus Nanoarchaeia; Nanoarchaeales; Nanopusillaceae
Description: tRNA-Ser
Rfam family: tRNA
About the family: Transfer RNA (tRNA) molecules are approximately 80 nucleotides in length. Their secondary structure includes four short double-helical elements and three loops (D, anti-codon, and T loops). Further hydrogen bonds mediate the characteristic L-shaped molecular structure. tRNAs have two regions of fundamental functional importance: the anti-codon, which is responsible for specific mRNA codon recognition, and the 3' end, to which the tRNAs corresponding amino acid is attached (by aminoacyl-tRNA synthetases). tRNAs cope with the degeneracy of the genetic code in two manners: having more than one tRNA (with a specific anti-codon) for a particular amino acid; and 'wobble' base-pairing, i.e. permitting non-standard base-pairing at the 3rd anti-codon position.
Source: RNAcentral